This 484-nucleotide ribosomal RNA is filed under the name uncultured bacterium. RNAcentral describes it as "partial 16S ribosomal RNA". It matches the Rfam family "Bacterial small subunit ribosomal RNA", at positions 30 to 507 of the family's 1533-position model. The record is from RNAcentral.
AUUGAACGCUGGCGGCAGGCCUAACACAUGCAAGUCGAGCGGAUGAAGGGAGCUUGCUCCUGGAUUCAGCGGCGGACGGGUGAGUAAUGCCUAGGAAUAUGCCUGGUAGUGGGGGAUAACGUCAGGAAACGGGAGCUAAUACAGCAUACGUCCUGAGGGUGAAAGUGGGGGAUCAUCGGACAUCAAGCUAUCAGAUGAGCCUAGGCCGUAUUAGCUAGUUGGUGGGGUAAAGACGUACCAAGGCAACGAUCCGUAGCCGACCUGAGAGGGUGAUCGGCCACACGGGAACUGAGACACGGUCCACACUCCUAAGGGAGGACGGAGUAGGGAAUCUUGCGAAAUGGGCGAAAGCAUGACCGCGCAACGCCGCGUGAGUGAUGAAGGUCUUCGGAUCGUAAAACUCUGUUAUUAGGGAAGAAGAUAUGUUUAUAUAACCGUGCAUAUUUUGACGUUACCUAAUAAGAAAGCCGCGGCUAACUCCGUG